Molecule: non-coding RNA, 109 nt
Organism: Arthromyces matolae
Lineage: Eukaryota; Fungi; Basidiomycota; Agaricomycetes; Agaricales; Lyophyllaceae
Source: the annotation of a GenBank genome assembly
GGUGGGAUGGCCGAGAGGUCUAAGGCGCCAGACUAAGGUGUUGCUCAAUUUCGCACUGUUUACCAAUCUGGUCUCUUCGGGGGCGGGAGCUCGAAUCUCCCUCUCAUCA